Molecule: transfer RNA, 85 nt
Filed under: bacterium
Lineage: Bacteria
Also listed under: 1 other name
Description: tRNA-Leu
Rfam family: tRNA
About the family: Transfer RNA (tRNA) molecules are approximately 80 nucleotides in length. Their secondary structure includes four short double-helical elements and three loops (D, anti-codon, and T loops).
Source: RNAcentral
GCGAGAGUGGCGGAACUGGUAGACGCGCAAGGUUUAGGUCCUUGUGGGGCAACCCGUGGGGGUUCGAGUCCCCCCUCUCGCACCA